Molecule: transfer RNA, 73 nt
Filed under: Phrynosoma platyrhinos (Desert horned lizard)
Lineage: Eukaryota; Metazoa; Chordata; Lepidosauria; Squamata; Phrynosomatidae
Description: tRNA-OTHER
Source: RNAcentral
UGACGUGUGGCAUUGUGGUCUUGAGUGUUGGACUGCAACUCUGGAGACCAGGGUUCGAUUCCCAGCUCGGCCA